RNAcentral lists this unclassified non-coding RNA (253 nucleotides) under uncultured Anaerolineae bacterium. RNAcentral's name for it is "contains 16S-23S intergenic spacer region". It matches the Rfam family "Bacterial small subunit ribosomal RNA", at positions 524 to 776 of the family's 1533-position model. The record is from RNAcentral. Lineage: Bacteria; Bacillati; Chloroflexota; Anaerolineae.
UACGUAGGUGGCGAACGUUAUCCGGAAUUACUGGGCGUAAAGGGUCCGUAGGCGGCCUGGAAAGUCGGACGUGACAGAGCGCAGCUCACCUGCGCGCGGUCGUUCGAAACUCUCAGGCUGGAAUCGGUACGAGGUCGGCGGAAUUCCCGGUGUAGUGGUGGAAUGCGUAGAGAUCGGGAAGAACCUCAAUGGCGCAGGCAGCCGGCUAGUACCAGAUUGACGCUGAGGGACGAAAGCGUGGGGAGCGAACAGG